This 295-nucleotide ribosomal RNA is filed under the name uncultured bacterium. RNAcentral describes it as "partial 16S ribosomal RNA". It matches the Rfam family "Bacterial small subunit ribosomal RNA", at positions 88 to 398 of the family's 1533-position model. The record is from RNAcentral.
GUGGACAGUGGCAGACGGGUGAGUAACGCGUGGGAACGUGCCUUUCGGUGCGGGAUAACCCAGGGAAACUUGGGCUAAUACCGGAUACGCCCUUCGGGGGCAAAGAUUCAUUGCCAGAAAGAUCGGCCCGCGUCGGAUUAGCUUGUUGGUGGGGUAAUGGCCUACCAAGGCGACGAUCCGUAGCUGGUCUGAGAGGAUGACCAGCCACACUGGGACUGAGACACGGCCCAGACUCCUACGGGAGGCAGCAGUGGGGAAUAUCGGACACUGGGCGAAAGCCUGAUCCAGCCAUGCC